AUGAAGGAAAAAAAAACAAAAAAGGAUUAAAAUGACACUGUUCUAUUCGAUUAUUUCCCGCAAACAACAAAGUGUGCUUUCGAAAAAAGUGUUCUACAAAAUCUUCAAUCUCACUAACAUGUUCUACAAAAUCUUCAAUCUCCGGUGAUUUUGGCAGAUUUCUUCGAUCAUAAUCUUCAAUGGAACAUUGAAAGGGACCAGUUCUCCCUAUCAAUUCAUCUUCACUACAAAUUCAGUUUCUCGCAUUGACGUUUUUCAAGCCUUCGAAUUCAGUUUCUCCUUCGAAUUCAGUUUUUCAAGCCUUCGAAUUGACGUUUCUCGCAGAUUUUCUUAGCAAUUUCCAAAUUCGAUCGCAUCUUCAGGCAUAAAGAUGGUAGUUUUGAUGAAGAGGGUGAAGCAAAGUUCAACGAAAAGAAGAUCGAGGUCAUUAUGACUUCACUUGGGCUUUGAUCAGAACAUAUACUGGUGACUGAAGAUCACAGCUGCAGUAGAUUGUAGCAGUGGCAUGUGUGCACAAUCCUAAAUUUGGUGGACAAUCAUGAAGCUCGAUUGAUUAACUUUACAGGCCUUGCUAUUCUGCUUUUUGGCAUUAUAGUUGAUUUUUCUGUUGCUUUUGCUCGUCAUAUGUAAAAUAAUUGUUUCCUUUUGAUUCUUUUGAGUGUUCAUAUAUUAACAUAUAAAUUUUAAAGGUUGUGUAUACUUGUUAAAAUUUUAGUAAAUCAGUAUAAUAAUAUUUUUUCCCUUGGUAUUA
Beta vulgaris subsp. vulgaris (sugar beet) is the source of this 751-nucleotide long non-coding RNA. RefSeq lists it as uncharacterized. NCBI's taxonomy places the organism in Eukaryota, Viridiplantae, Streptophyta, Magnoliopsida, Caryophyllales, Amaranthaceae. The transcript has 3 exons. The record is from RefSeq and is a predicted model, not a curated record.